Molecule: ribosomal RNA, 1438 nt
Filed under: uncultured organism
Description: SSU rRNA
Rfam family: Bacterial small subunit ribosomal RNA
Source: RNAcentral
UAUCUACAGGCUUAACACAUGCAAGUCGAGGGGCAGCAUUUCAGUUUGCUUGCAAACUGGAGAUGGCGACCGGCGCACGGGUGAGUAACACGUAUCCAACCUGCCGAUAACUCGGGGAUAGCCUUUCGAAAGAAAGAUUAAUACCCGAUGGCAUAAUUAGACCGCAUGGUCUUAUUAUUAAAGAAUUUCGGUUAUCGAUGGGGAUGCGUUCCAUUAGGCAGUUGGUGAGGUAACGGCUCACCAAACCUUCGAUGGAUAGGGGUUCUGAGAGGAAGGUCCCCCACAUUGGAACUGAGACACGGUCCAAACUCCUACGGGAGGCAGCAGUGAGGAAUAUUGGUCAAUGGACGAGAGUCUGAACCAGCCAAGUAGCGUGAAGGAUGACUGCCCUAUGGGUUGUAAACUUCUUUUAUAUGGGAAUAAAGUUUUCCACGUGUGGAAUUUUGUAUGUACCAUAUGAAUAAGGAUCGGCUAACUCCGUGCCAGCAGCCGCGGUAAUACGGAGGAUCCGAGCGUUAUCCGGAUUUAUUGGGUUUAAAGGGAGCGUAGGUGGACAGUUAAGUCAGUUGUGAAAGUUUGCGGCUCAACCGUAAAAUUGCAGUUGAUACUGGCUGUCUUGAGUACAGUAGAGGUGGGCGGAAUUCGUGGUGUAGCGGUGAAAUGCUUAGAUAUCACGAAGAACUCCGAUUGCGAAGGCAGCUCACUGGACUGCAACUGACACUGAUGCUCGAAAGUGUGGGUAUCAAACAGGAUUAGAUACCCUGGUAGUCCACACAGUAAACGAUGAAUACUCGCUGUUUGCGAUAUACAGUAAGCGGCCAAGCGAAAGCAUUAAGUAUUCCACCUGGGGAGUACGCCGGCAACGGUGAAACUCAAAGGAAUUGGCGGGGGCCCGCACAAGCGGAGGAACAUGUGGUUUAAUUCGAUGAUACGCGAGGAACCUUACCCGGGCUUAAAUUGCAUUUGAAUAAUCUGGAAACAGGUUAGCCGCAAGGCAAAUGUGAAGGUGCUGCAUAGUUGUCGUCAGCUCGUGCCGUGAGGUGUCGGCUUAAGUGCCAUAACGAGCGCAACCCUUAUCUUUAGUUACUAACAGGUCAUGCUGAGGACUCUAGAGAGACUGCCGUCGUAAGAUGUGAGGAAGGUGGGGAUGACGUCAAAUCAGCACGGCCCUUACGUCCGGGGCUACACACGUGUUACAAUGGGGGGUACAGAAGGCAGCUACCUGGUGACAGGAUGCUAAUCCCAAAAGCCUCUCUCAGUUCGGAUCGAAGUCUGCAACCCGACUUCGUGAAGCUGGAUUCGCUAGUAAUCGCGCAUCAGCCAUGGCGCGGUGAAUACGUUCCCGGGCCUUGUACACACCGCCCGUCAAGCCAUGAAAGCCGGGGGUACCUGAAGUACGUAACCGCAAGGAGCGUCCUAGGGUAAAACUGGUAAUUGG